AACGUAGGACGCGAGCGUUAUCCGGAGUUACUGGGCGUAAAGGGCGGGUAGGCGGACGGGCAAGAUGGGUGUGAAAUCUCCCGGCUCAACCGGGAGGGGCCACUCGUGACUGCCUGACUGGAGGGCGACAGAGGAGCGUGGAAUUCCGGGUGGAGUGGUGAAAUGCGUAGAGAUCCGGAGGAACACCAGAGGCGAAAGCGGCGCUCUGGGUCGCACCUGACGCUGAACCGCGAAAGCCAGGGUAGCGAACGGG
Molecule: ribosomal RNA, 253 nt
Filed under: uncultured bacterium
Lineage: Bacteria
Description: partial 16S ribosomal RNA
Rfam family: Bacterial small subunit ribosomal RNA
Source: RNAcentral